CCUACGGGAGGCAGCAGUGAGGAAUAUUGGUCAAUGGCCGGGAGGCUGAACCAGCCAAGUCGCGUGAGGGAAGACGGCCCUACGGGUUGUAAACCUCUUUUGUCAGGGAGCAAGGUGCAGGUCGGGAACGGCUGUGAGAGGACCUGAAGAAAAAGCAGCGGCUCACUCCGUGCCAGCAGCCGCGGUAAUACGGCGGAUGCGAGCGUUAUCCGGAUUGAUUGGGUUUCAAGGGUGCGCAGGCGGAGGCACAAGUCAGCGGUAAAAUCGCGGGGCUCAACCCCGCUCCGCCGUUGAAACGUUGUCCCUUGAGUUCGCGACGGGUCGGCGGAAUGCGUUGUGUAGCGGUGAAAUGCAUAGAUCUCACGCAGAACUCCGAUCGCGAAGGCAGCCUACCGGCGCGCACCUGCCGCUCAUGCACGAAAGCGUGGGUAUCGAACCGGAUUAGAUACCCCAGUAGUC
Molecule: ribosomal RNA, 459 nt
Filed under: uncultured bacterium
Lineage: Bacteria
Description: partial 16S ribosomal RNA
Rfam family: Bacterial small subunit ribosomal RNA
Source: RNAcentral